GAUGAAGAACGCAGCAAAAUGCGAUAAGUGAUGUGAAUUGCAGAAUUCAGUGAAUCAUCGAAUCUUUGAACGCACAUUGCGCCCGCCAGUAUUCUGGCGGGCAUGCCUGUUCGAGCGUCAUUUCAACCCUCAAGCCCUCGGGUUUGGUGUUGGGGAUCGGCGAGCCUUUCUGGCAAGCCGGCCCCGAAAUCUAGUGGCGGUCUCGCUGCAGCCUCCAUUGCGUAGUAGUAAAACCCUCGCAACUGGAACGCGGCGCGGCCAAGCCGUUAAACCCCCAACUUCUGAAUGUUGACCUCGGAUCAGGUAGGAAUACCCGCUGAACUUAAGCAUAUCAAUAAGCGGAGGA
This 346-nucleotide unclassified non-coding RNA is filed under the name soil metagenome. RNAcentral's name for it is "partial contains 5.8S ribosomal RNA, internal transcribed spacer 2, and large subunit ribosomal RNA". The stretch from base 1 to 120 matches the Rfam family "5.8S ribosomal RNA", at positions 35 to 154 of the family's 154-position model. The record is from RNAcentral.